CUUUUACGGAGAGUUUGAUCCUGGCUCAGGACGAACGCUGGCGGCGUGCUUAACACAUGCAAGUCGAACGAUGAACUGGAGCUUGCUCCAGGAAUUAGUGGCGAACGGGUGAGUAACACGUGAGUAACCUGCCCUUGACUCUGGGAUAAGCGCUAGAAAUGGCGUCUAAUACCGGAUACGAGCUUCAGCCGCAUGGCUAGGAGUUGGAAAGAAUUUUGGUCAAGGAUGGACUCGCGGCCUAUCAGCUAGUUGGUGAGGUAAUGGCUCACCAAGGCGACGACGGG
RNAcentral lists this ribosomal RNA (284 nucleotides) under Frigoribacterium sp. PhB24. RNAcentral's name for it is "partial 16S ribosomal RNA". It matches the Rfam family "Bacterial small subunit ribosomal RNA", at positions 1 to 283 of the family's 1533-position model. The record is from RNAcentral. Lineage: Bacteria; Bacillati; Actinomycetota; Actinomycetes; Micrococcales; Microbacteriaceae.